UGUAAAUUCAAAUUGGCCAGGUAUUCUAAGAACGACUUUCCUCGACGGCGUCUGUUUUAAUAAUUUGCCCAUUGUCUUGACUUAUUCAAGACCAGAUUGUUUAGGCAGAAAGCCUUGGGUUGACAGGGAAGUAUUUGGGAGAAAUGUUCGGAGCCAUUUGACAAUCAACUGCUUUAUACUAGCUGAUUCACUGCCUGUGUCUCAACGAACGUCUCGCUGGGCUAACCUUAAGUUGUUCAACGUUUGAAACCGCAAGUGAUGCAAACGCGGUUAGAUGAUAAAUUGUCAGCCUGAACUAGACUUAUUUUACUCUCUCUGCAAAGAUCAGCAAGGCAUACGUCGAAGUUUUCCCUUGUACUUCUUUGGAAAAGGUUUAUUAUUAUAGCUGACAAAGACAAAGUAUCGGUAUAUUACAUGUAAACUUUUAUCAAAUCCCGUUGGAAGUACAGUUAAUAUUGCUAACCUUCGCUCAUCCUUCAACGUUAAUUUAAAUUGAAAGUUUCAAAUACAUUCAGUUACUUCUUCGAAGAGAUAAACAAAGUCAUGGUUUUAUACGCCACUGAUUGCAUGCCAGCUUUAAAAUUACAUUGCGAAAUGUCGUACGAGUUAAAUAUUUGCACGAUAUUAACUCAUGGGGCACUUCUGACCAAUGGGAAUUUUGCGUACGGAGCGUACGCAUAAAUCGACUUUUUACUAAUAAAGGUCGCAGGCCGUUCCUCCCAUGCAGCCUCUGCCUGACAACGGCCUGCGAGCAGGCUAG
This is a non-coding RNA of Paramuricea clavata, 760 nucleotides long. Lineage: Eukaryota; Metazoa; Cnidaria; Anthozoa; Malacalcyonacea; Plexauridae. The record is from the annotation of a GenBank genome assembly.